UACGUAGGGUGCUAGCGUUGUUCGGAAUUACUGGGCGUAAAGCGCACGUAGGCGGACUUUUAAGUCAGGUGUGAAAUCCCGGGGCUCAACCUCGGAACUGCAUUUGAAACUGGAAGUCUUGAGACCAGGAGAGGUUAGCGGAAUACCGAGUGUAGAGGUGAAAUUCGUAGAUAUUCGGUGGAACACCAGUGGCGAAGGCGGCUAACUGGACUGGUACUGACGCUGAGGUGCGAAAGUGUGGGGAGCAAACAGG
This 253-nucleotide ribosomal RNA is filed under the name uncultured bacterium. RNAcentral's name for it is "partial 16S ribosomal RNA". It matches the Rfam family "Bacterial small subunit ribosomal RNA", at positions 524 to 776 of the family's 1533-position model. The record is from RNAcentral.